This 468-nucleotide ribosomal RNA is filed under the name uncultured bacterium. RNAcentral's name for it is "partial 16S ribosomal RNA". It matches the Rfam family "Bacterial small subunit ribosomal RNA", at positions 28 to 507 of the family's 1533-position model. The record is from RNAcentral.
GACGAACGCUGGCGGCGUGCUUAACACAUGCAAGUCGAACGGAAAGGCCCUGCGUUUGUGGGGUGCUCGAGUGGCGAACGGGGGAGGAACAGGUGAGUAACCUGCCCUUGACUUUGGGAUAACUUCAGGAAACUGGGGCUAAUACAGGAUAGGAGCUCCUGCUGCAUGGUGGGGGUUGGAAAGUUGCGGCGGUUGGGGAUGGAUUCGCGGCUGAUGGGCUUGUUGGUGGGGGAGGGGCUGCCCAAGGAUUUGACGGGUAGGCGGCCUGAGAGGGUGACCGGCCACCUGGGGCCUGAGAGACGGACCAGACUCCUACGGGGGGCAGCGGUGGGGAGUAUUGCCCAGUGGGCGGAAGCCUGUUGCAGCAACGCCGCGUGCGGGAUGACGGCCUUCGGGUUGUAAACCGCUUUCGCCUGUGACGAAGCGUGAGUGACGGUAAUGGGUAAAGAAGCACCGGCUAACUACGUG